This is a long non-coding RNA of Pseudopipra pipra, 7311 nucleotides long. RefSeq lists it as uncharacterized. The record is from RefSeq and is a predicted model, not a curated record. NCBI's taxonomy places the organism in Eukaryota, Metazoa, Chordata, Aves, Passeriformes, Pipridae. The transcript has 7 exons.
GCGGGGCGGCUCCAAGGCCGAGCGGGGCCGCCGGGCAGGUGGAGUGUCCGCGUGAUGCGGGGUCUGCGAUGCCGGGUCUGGCGUCCCGGGGGAACCCGAGCUGCGGUUCCGCCGUCUGCAGUUCGGCGAGCGCCAGCAGGGGCUCCUGGUCGCCCAUGGGGCCGUGGAGAGGCUCCGGCUCGGGGUGGGGUGGUCACCGGAAGUGGUGCGGGGAAGGCGAGGCCGAGCCGCUCGGAGCCGGGGCCAGCCCGAGGCACAGCCCGUGGGCGGCGAGGGGCCCGGGGAGGAUUUACUGGCGGGAAUCACAGGGCUGUGAGAGUAGAAACUGAGCUGUCUUUGGAGGAAAUGUGGCAACGUCCUGAAAAUACUGCAGGCGGGUAUUUCCCCAUCAGUAACACGCCAGCGCUGUUGGUUGCGUGGCUGCUGGCUUUGUAACUGGCGUCAGUGUAAGCCAGGUUCUCCUGCUGAGAACGGGCUGGAAGUGUUUUGGGUGACUCAGAGCUAUUAUUUGGAUGAAUUGUACACCUUGGGGAAAACUGCAUUGAAAAGUUGGCUAUUACGGUUCUAGAAAGCAAAUUAAAGGGAACUCUGUGAACAGGUUGAUAGGAAUUGACAAUAUUUAUUAAACGUAGGGAUUAAAAGAUACUCAAAUAGUGGUUUAUUUAUUUCCAAACUGUAACUGUAUUUAGUUGUGACAUAUUCACGAGCACAGAUUCACAGGUGACGUUAAGAGUCCCAGUUCCUCAGAUACCUUGCUGAGGUUAUCUGUGCUGAGGAGACUGGGAGCCCAUAGGCACGUGUGGAUGGAUUCUAUACUGGUUUUUUCUAACUCACAGACGAGAAAUUAGAUGGCGCUCUGAAAUACUUGAGGUGCCCCAAAACGAAGUACAGACCUUUACGAAUAUCAAGAUCUUGAAAAAAACACUUUUGUUCAGGAUUUACAUGUAAUUUUUCAUAAUGUUAAAGCAAAACAGAUGCCUAACUUUGUUAACAAUGAGUGAUUCCUCUUUUAGAAGACCUGUUUGAAGUGAAUAAGGCUAAUUCACUUGGCUGAUUUCACAAAAUGGGGAUCAGGUCUUUUCUAUGAAAAAUACAUUUUAAGCAAAAUCUUUUGAGCUAGGAAGGCACUUCUGUUUCACAAAAAGAUGUUGCAGUGGAAAGCUUAUGACCACUAAUAAAGGAAAAACAAUCACCCUCAAAUGUUUAGGUAGUCUACUAUAUACACCAAGGUAUUUGGGGUAAUUUUUGCUUUGUUUUUAAAACAAAACCAUGUAAUGAUUUAUUUCUGCAGAGGAGUAAUUAAUUGAACCAUGAUAUUAAUUUAUUAUCAUUUAUUUAUCAUUGUAUAUUUGAAUUAGCAACAAAAACACUCCUUGUGCAGGAUACUGGAGAGCUUAUCAGCAUCUAAAAUCUUCUGAAGUGAGACCCUAUGUUAUGUGGGCAUAGCAGAGAAAGGCAAUAGAGAAGCUCAAGAGUGAAGCAAUGUGCUAUUUCUUGGUGGGCUGAUAUUGUGACUGUCUCUGGGAGCUGUGAUUUCUAGGUGGAAGCUUGCCUCUGUUUUGACUUGACACUGCAGGUGCAGCUGACUAUCUGUGUCUCAUGAGGUCUCUGAACAAAAGUUGCAAUGCUAAGUUGUCAGUGUUUGGAAUACUUGCAGACCCUGUAACAGGAAGCGUAACAGGGCAGUGCUGAACAAGUCUCACAUGCAGAAUAACAGUUUUGACAUGAGUUCUGGAAGAUGACUUUCAGAAUAGUUCAUGAGUACAUCUUGAUGAAGCCAUUUUUCCUCAUUUAUUCCAGUUCCUGAAAGAAACAGCAAACAAACAGGAGUAUUUCAUAUCUGAAUUUUGUCCUCAUUUUUUCAUUUCUGUACUCAUCUGACACAUUUCCUCACGCUGUUCCUUCUGCUCUGUUCAUAUGGAGAUCAUCUGGCCCUUAUGCUGGUGAGAACUCUUCUCCAGGAUUCAGUGUGGACAAAGACUGCAAAUUCAUUGCCAAACAGAUCGGUUUCACAGACUUAUCUUUUUCUAAACUGGAAAAGAGCAUGCUUGCUUAAACUCCUCCAGUGAUUAAAAAGGGAAUUUUCAGAUAUGCUGAAUGAAAUGGAGAGUAAACUGAAAUUACCUUUCUCUUUGAAAAACUUGAAACACCUUUUACACCCUGCAAGCAGUACUUGAAUUGUUGUUCUUUGCUGGUGAUUCAAUAACCAAAAUGUUAUUUGUAGUGUCUUUGUAGCAGGCUGCACAGAUUAGGAAUUUAGUCACUGCUAUUAAUACUCUUCCCGAAGCGGAAAACCACAACUAAGGGACUGAAAUAUGAAGAAAGAGUGGGGGAUGGAAGAAAAAUGAAAAGCUGCAGCAUACCUUUGUCCAAGGUUUUCAUUUGUGUCUAACCUUCUCUGUCAUUUCUAUCCUUCUAAUUCUUUCAGGAUAUGAUAGAAAAAUGUCCUCUUUGACUACAGAAAAGCACUCUCAAAUUUCUGUGCCACUACUUGAAACAUAGUGAUGCUUUUAAUGCAGACAUUUUCCGUGGCCUUAACUGCUCACAGGUCUGUACCAAAACCAAAGUAGCCACUGUGAAUACCUAGUAAGUACUGUUCAUAAACAUUUUUAUAAUGUUUGACCUUAAGAGUGACCUGAAGAUUAAUGGAUAUGUUGUAUCAGUUUUAAUGGGUCUCUUUUCUCUUGGAUACACACAUGUGACUCCCAUUAGUCUUAAUGGGAGUUAUAUGUGUGCCUAGAGGUUAGACAAGAUCUCUAAAGGUGCUGUUAUGCUCUGUUGUAUUAACGAUCUCAUAAUUGCUGAGGUGCUGCACCUUUGCAUUGAAAGCAAACUAAUUAAAUUGGUCUAGUAUAAGUUGGUAUACUAGCAUACCCAGCACGUAUGUGUGUUUUCCUGUGAGUCUCUCAGUACACAGAGGUACCGGCCAAAUCAAAUGUGGAAUUCAAUUUUUUUGUGUGACUUGACUUCCUUUGUAAUUGUUCUUUGUAAUUCAAAAUGAUUUCAUGAGUUUGAUUCCUAAGAAAGAUGAUUGUUCGUGUGAGUACAGGGGAAGAAGCUGAAUGUGAUGUUUUAUUUUAUCAUUAAAGGAUGUAGUGAGAAAAGACUGAAUUGAUUCUUAUUUUGAUGUUGCAAAUCAUGCACUUUGAAAAAAGGCAGUUAAGUCUCAAGGAUUAACCUGAAGCUUGAUGUUGAAUUUUAAUUAUGGCUUUGUUACUCGUUUCUUCCAAGUGCCUUUAGACAAAGCACUUCACCUUUCUUUGAUUUCCAGAUAUGUAAAAUAUCUACUUGCUUCUUAGUGUUGCAGACAUAAAUUAAUAUGUGUUCUAUACUUUGGAAUUUUAAGAUUGGAGCAUCCAACUGUAUUCUGUUGGCAUAAUUAUGACAGCACAGGAGGAGAAAAAAUCAUAGUAUCUACCUGGUACAGCCGAGCAGAAGUCCUAGUGAUGAUGUAGAUCUGUCAAGAGAACUGAUUCUGUUCCAUAGUUUAUGAUGUGUAAGACAGUGCAUUGGUAAUGAAAAAAAUUUGGUACGUUUUUUGGUGGAAAAGAUUGUACAGUAGGCAAAUUGACAUUGUAUAGACAUUUGACAUUUUCAUAGAUAAAAAUAAUAAUUAGAAUCAGAUAGUCACUGUGAAAAUUCGUAUGUCUUAUUCCCUGUCUCCGUGCAUUUGAAAAUCAACCAUGAUGUAGUCUUCUUUGAAAAUAUAGAUUUGAGGAAAGAAUGAAUCUUAAUAUUUACAUUCUAGAGGAAAAGAAGGGUUUAUGUGAUAACCUUCACAUUUAAAGUUGAUAAUUUUCUUUUUUUCUUUUAUCAGAUAAGGAUAUUACAUAAAUCCAAUUUCACAAUUUAGUUUUACUAUUUUUGAAGUAACAGAUCUUGUGGCAUAUUUUUGGGUGGGUUUUUUUUUGUUAAUAUAAUUAUUUUAUUUUUGCCCUUAUGUGAUUCUUACUUUCUAGUAGAAAGUAGCAAAUUUCAUAGCAUCACACAGAAUCACAAAAUCAGCUAGGUUGGAAAAGACCUCUGAGAUCAUCGAGUCCAACCUGUGACCCAACACCACCUUGUCAACUAGACCAUGGCUCUGUGUGCCACAUCCAAUCUCUUCUUAAAUACCUCCAGGGACAGUGAAUCCACCACCUCCCUCCACAGCCCGGUCCAAUGUCUGAUCACUCUCUCCAUAAAGAAUUUCUUCGUAAUGUCUAUCCUAAACCUCCCCUGGCACAUCUUAAAACUGCCCUCUUGUCCUAAUGAUAGUUACCUGGGAGAAGAUACCAGCCCCCACUUGGCUACAACUUCCUUUCAGGUGGUCGUAGAGAGUGAUAAGGUCUCCCUUGAGCCUCCUCUUCUCCAGGCUAAACAUCCUCAGCUCCUCACAGGGCUUGUGCUCCAGUCCCUUCACCAGCCUCAUUGCCCUUUGGACCUGCUCCAGCACCUCAAUAUCCUUCCUAAACUGAGGGGCCCAGAACUGAACACAGUACUCAAGGUGCGGCCUAAUUAGUGCCAAGUACAGGGGCAGAAUCACUUCCCUGGUCCUGCUGGCCACACUGUUCCUGAUCCAGGCCAGGAUGCCACUGACCUUCUUGGCCACCUCGGCACUCUGCUGGCUCCUGUUCAGCUUCAUGUCAAUCAGAACCCCCAGGUCCCUUUCUGCCUGGUUGCUCUCCAGACACUCUGUCCACUGCCUGUAGCGCUGCAUGGGGUUUUUGUGGUCAAAGUGGCACUUGGUCUUAUUAAACAUCAUACCAUUGGAUUGAGCCCAUCUAUCCAUCUUGUCUAGGUCCCUCUGCAGAGCCCUCCUACCCUCCAGCAGAUUGACACUCCCCCCACACUUGGUGUCAUCUGCAAAUUUGCUAAUGGUGGACUCAAUCCCCUCAUCCAAAUCAUCAUUGAAGAUAUUAAACAGGAUUGGGCCCAACACUGAUCCCUGGGGGACACCACUAGUGACCGGCCGCCAACUGGAUGCAGAACCAUUCACCACCACUCUGGACCUGGCCCUCCAGCCAGUUCUUAACCCAGCAGAGAGUGCCCCUGUCCAAGCCGUGGGCUUCCAGCUUUUCCGGAAGUAUGGCAUGGGAGAUGGUAUCAAAGGCUUUGCUGAAGUCCAGGUAAACUACAUCCACAGCCUUCCCCUAAUCCACCAGGCGGGUCAUCUGGUCAUAAAAGGAGAUCAGGUUGGUCAGACAGGACCUGCCCCUCUUAAAUCCAUACUGGCUGGCUCUGAUCCCCUGUCUGUCCUAUAGGUGCCGUGUGAUCGAACUGAAGAUGAUCUGUUCCAUAACCUUGCCAGGCACUGAGGUCAGGCUGACCAGCCUGUAGUUUCCCAGGUCUUCCUUCCAGCCCUUCUUGUGGGUGGCUGUCACAUUGGCCAACUUCCAGUCAUAUGGGACUUUCACUGGUGAUCCAGGACUGUUGAUAAAUGACGGAGAGCGGCUUGAUGAGCUCCCUCAUCACCCUGGGAUGGAUCCCAUCUGGUUCCAUAGACUUGUGGGGAUCCAAGUGGUUCAGCAGGUCACUAACUUCCUCCUGGAUUACAGGGGGGUUGUUCGGCUCCCCAUCCUUGUCUACCAGCUCAGGAGGCCAGUUGUCCUGAGGAUGACCUGUCUUGUUGAAGACUGAGGCAAACAAGAUGUUAAGUACUCAGCCUUCUCUUUGUUAACUAUGUUCCCCUUCAUUCCACUGAGACUGUGAUGGUAAUGUCUUUAGCUCUGUAAUUGAGAAUACCUGGAAAAAUCUUGUGAACUGUUUUGUAAAUAUACUUUCUUACAUUUGACUCCAAUGUGUAAAAUAUAUUGUAUAGUUUAAUCAAUUUUCUUUCUCAUGUAAAUUUCAAACAUUAAUUUCCUUGGGUUUUUUAGUAAUUUGUGAUUAGUUCUCCAGUAUUUUUUUAAAAAUAAAUAGUUAAUCUUUUUAGUGUUAUAUUUAGGCUAUAUAGGAUAUUGUUAAAAAAAGCUAAAAAUGAAAACAAACCUUAGCUCAUUUCAGUUUCUAUAUGUAUCCUUAUCCAUAAAAAGAAAGGAAUAGUUCUGUUUUGUAACCCUGGCAAACUCCAGAUAUUUCCAAAUUUUUAAAUGUGUUUCUAUGUACUUGAGGUUCUUUGCUCUAAAUUUUGCUUUGAUAGCACACUCUAAACUCCCAGAGACAGGAGUUGUGUCCUCUGUAUUUUUUACAUAGUGUCAAGCAUCUGCACUCUCAUGAAGGAAGCUUCUGCUGGGAAAAAAAUAAUCUAUAUUUUGCUAUUAUCUAUAGACCAAUUUUCUAAGCAGAAUAAGCAAAUUUGUCAAAAGGAUUUAGUUGGAUUUUUUUCUUCUUUUUCCAGAAUAACUAUGCUUAUAUUAUUUUUGACGGUAUAAUGGUUGAUUGAGUGUGAGUAAUUAAUUCUAUUCCCCAUAUUUUAAGGGUGAUCUAAUCCUGGAGCAAGUUGCCCAGAUGGGUUAUGGAGUCUCCAUCCCUGGAGAUAAUUAAAACUCAACUGGACACAGCUCUUAACAACCUGCUUUGGUUUUUCAAUGGGACAAGAGACAGAGUUCAACUGCAUUGAUUUAUGAGUGAAUAGCGUGUCCCAUUCAGAUCAUCCUAUGGCUAAUGUCACAGACAAAUGCUGGAGGAAUUCAGUGCUCUUUAACUCAGUUUUCAUAAGCUGCAGUUGCUCAUAGCUGAGAUAAAGGGACUGAUCUAAUUCUGAAUGAAGUCAACAUUUUUCUGAAAUGAGACCUAAGAUUCUUCUUCAGAGCAAUAGGUCAAGAUAAGGAAGCUACACAGUUUUUCUUAUAUGUGUCUCUCAUUCAUUUUGGGGAGACCAUCCUUUGGUCACAGAGUUUGUUGAAGUGACUGGAGAGUCAGUAGUCAUUGGAGCUUGUUCCCUUGUAGAAAAGUUCCAUUCUGCCAAAUGAGGUUGCUCAAUUGAGCUCUUGGCCAACAACUACAAUUAAAAGGAUGAAAAUAUUUCAAGAUGACAAGACAGAAUGGACCCUUAGCAAAUUUACAUGAGGCAAAAUUUGGAAGAGAAUGUUAAGUGACACUCUACAGAAAAACGCUGAGAAACACAGGGGCUGAACCAACAGACACCUAAAAAGUUUAGAAGUGCAAAAGUUCAGCAAUUCAGACAAAACAACCAACUUCAGAAAGGAGAUGAGCUACAGAGACAGCAGAAGAAAACACUUUCUCUGCCACAGGAAAAAGAUGAUCUUAUUGAGCUGGAAGACCAAAAGAUAAUUGUUCAUCAGCAAAGGCAGCCUUCAGUGGACAAUCAGAAUCUGCCUACAGCUAAAGAAGCUCACUGGUGUGAUGCCUUUGUCACUCUUAAAUCCAAUU